Long non-coding RNA from Rhagoletis zephyria (snowberry fruit fly), 324 nucleotides. RefSeq lists it as uncharacterized. The record is from RefSeq and is a predicted model, not a curated record. NCBI's taxonomy places the organism in Eukaryota, Metazoa, Arthropoda, Insecta, Diptera, Tephritidae.
CGUAAUCACAACAAAAAAAACCAAAAAUUCUUUCAAAUUCAUUAGUAUCCACUUAAACAAGUAAUUAAACACCUUUCAACAUGCAUUAGCAGAAUGCGCCUUUCUUUUGUUUACAAUUUGGUUGUCAACCGCACUACAGCUGAUCGUUUGUCGCACUUACCAGAAUUUAGCAGCAAAAAAUCUUCGGACUCAAACUGGUAACUUCUGAGAGAGACAACCGUAUUUACACCCUUUUUUGUUUUCUCAAUAGUCAGAGAACCGAGUACUGGAUCGGUUUCCAGUAAAAUCUGACUAAUUCUGAUUAGUCCGGACUCAUACGGGAUC